RNAcentral lists this ribosomal RNA (465 nucleotides) under uncultured bacterium. RNAcentral's name for it is "partial 16S ribosomal RNA". It matches the Rfam family "Bacterial small subunit ribosomal RNA", at positions 28 to 507 of the family's 1533-position model. The record is from RNAcentral.
GACGAACGCUGGCGGCGUGCUUAACACAUGCAAGUCGAACGGAAAGGCCCCUUUGGGGGUACUCGAGUGGCGAACGGGUGUGUAACACGUGAGUAACCUGCCCUUGACUUCGGGAUAACUUCAGGAAACUGGGGCUAAUACCGGAUAGGAAUCCUUGCUGCAUGGUGGGGGUUGGAAAGCUUCGGCGGUUUUGGAUGGACUCGCGGCUUAUCAGCUUGUUGGUGGGGUAGUGGCUUACCAAGGCUUUGACGGGUAGCCGGCCUGAGAGGGCGACCGGCCACAUUGGGACUGAGAUACGGCCCAGACUCCUACGGGAGGCAGCAGUGGGGAAUAUUGCACAAUGGGCGGAAGCCUGAUGCAGCAACGCCGCGUGCGGGAUGACGGCCUUCGGGUUGUAAACCGCUUUCAGCAGGGGCGAAGCUUGUGGUGACGGUACCUGCAGAAGAAGCACCGGCUAACUACGUG